RNAcentral lists this small RNA (31 nucleotides) under Bombyx mori (domestic silkworm). Its description in RNAcentral is "ovarian small RNA-27857". The record is from RNAcentral. Lineage: Eukaryota; Metazoa; Arthropoda; Insecta; Lepidoptera; Bombycidae.
UCCUCUCCAAUGACCGCGACGAGGGGGGCGC